GAUGAAGAACGUAGCGAAAUGCGAUAAGUAAUGUGAAUUGCAGAAUUCAGUGAAUCAUCGAAUCUUUGAACGCACCUUGCACCCUUUGGCAUUCUGAAGGGUAUGCUCGUUUGAGUGUCAUUGUACUCUCACACUCCCGAUCUUUGCAUUGGGAGCAGUGGACUUGGGUUUGCUGCUUCACCGUCGCUUACCUCAAAUAGGUUAGUGCAACUCUUGGUUGGACAUAGUACGGCGUGAUAAGUGUUCUUCGCCGGUGCCUCGCAAAGAGGGUGGCCGAUCGGGAUGUUGUGCUCCAAACCGUCUUCGGACAAUCUCUGACGACUUGACCUCAGAUCGAGUAAGACUACCCGCUGAACUUAAGCAUAUCAAUAAGCGGAGGA
Molecule: unclassified non-coding RNA, 380 nt
Filed under: soil metagenome
Description: partial contains 5.8S ribosomal RNA, internal transcribed spacer 2, and large subunit ribosomal RNA
Rfam family: 5.8S ribosomal RNA (bases 1-120)
Source: RNAcentral